CCUACGGGUGGCUGCAGUCGAGAAUCAUUCACAAUGGGGGAAACCCUGAUGGUGCGACGCCGCGUGGGGGAAUGAAGGUCUUCGGAUUGUAAACCCCUGUCGUGUGGGAGCAAAUUAAAAAGAUAGUACCACAAGAGGAAGAGACGGCUAACUCUGUGCCAGCAGCCGCGGUAAUACAGAGGUCUCAAGCGUUGUUCGGAAUCACUGGGCGUAAGGCGUGCGUAGGCUGUUUCGUAAGUCGUGUGUGAAAGGCGCGGGCUCAACCCGCGGACGGCACAUGAUACUGCGAGACUAGAGUAAUGGAGGGGGAACCGGAAUUCUCGGUGUAGCAGUGAAAUGCGUAGAUAGCGAGAGGAACACUCGUGGCGAAGGCGGGUUCCUGGACAUUAACUGACGCUGAGGCACGAAGGCCAGGGGAGCGAAAGGGAUUAGAUACCCCAGUAGUC
Molecule: ribosomal RNA, 446 nt
Filed under: uncultured bacterium
Lineage: Bacteria
Description: partial 16S ribosomal RNA
Rfam family: Bacterial small subunit ribosomal RNA
Source: RNAcentral